UCCGGCUUAUCACCGGCGGUUUCUUUAGAGUGCCCAACUAAAUGAUGGCAACUAAAGACGAGGGUUGCGCUCGUUGCGGGACUUAACCCAACAUCUCACGACACGAGCUGACGACAGCCAUGCACCACCUGUCAUGGGCCCUUUCGGACACCGUAUCUCUACGGCUUUUCCCAUGAUGUCAAACCCAGGUAAGGUUCUUCGGGUCGCAUCGAAUUAAGCCGCAUGCUCCGCCGCUUGUGCGGGGACCCGUCAAUCCCUUUGAGUUUUAACCUUGCGGCCGUACUCCCCAGGCGGUCAACUUCACGCGUUAGCUCCGGCACAGAGACCGUGGAAUGGCCCCCACACCUAGCGCCCACCGUUUACGGCGUGGACUAC
Molecule: unclassified non-coding RNA, 375 nt
Filed under: uncultured Actinomycetes bacterium
Lineage: Bacteria; Bacillati; Actinomycetota; Actinomycetes
Description: uncultured actinobacterium contains 16S-23S intergenic spacer region
Source: RNAcentral